This 776-nucleotide ribosomal RNA is filed under the name uncultured Neocallimastigales. RNAcentral's name for it is "partial large subunit ribosomal RNA". It matches the Rfam family "Eukaryotic large subunit ribosomal RNA", at positions 23 to 616 of the family's 3401-position model. The record is from RNAcentral. Lineage: Eukaryota; Fungi; Neocallimastigomycota; Neocallimastigomycetes; Neocallimastigales.
AGAGAGAGACAUGCGCGCAUAUCAAUAAGCGGAGGAAAAGAAACUAACAAGGAUUCCCCUAGUAACGGCGAGUGAAGCGGGAAGAGCUCAAAUUUGAAAUCUUAAAGGGUUUCCCUUUACGAAUUGUAGUUUAAAGAAGUGUUUUCUGUUGAGGUUUUGGUAAAAGUUCUUUGGAAUAGGACAUCAUAGAGGGUGAGAAUCCCGUAUUUGACCUUUACUUUCAACUUUGUGAUACACUUUCAAAGAGUCGGACUGUUUGGGAAUGCAGUCCAAAAUGGGUGGUAAAUUUCAUCUAAAGCUAAAUAUUGGCGAGAGACCGAUAGCGAACAAGUACCGUGAGGGAAAGAUGAAAAGAACUUUGAAAAGAGAGUUAAACAGUACGUGAAAUUGUCAAAAGGGAAGCGUUUGACACCAGUGUUGUUUUUCUGAAAAUCAAUUAAAGAACUGUUUAUGCUAAGCUUGUUUAGACUUUAUCAGCUAACUGUUUAGUUUUGAGCUUUUCUUUAAUGCACUUUUCAGUUAACAAGUCAACAUCAAUUUCUUUUGCUGUAAAAAAGCUUGAGGAAGGUGGCUUGAGAUUCGUCUUAAGUGUUUAUAGCCUCUUGCCUAUGCAGUCGGAGAGAUUGAGGUCUGCAGCGUAGAUCCUUCGGGGCUAAAUGCAUUUGUGCCUAAGUUAUAGCAUUUUAUAGACAACUUGUUGACUAUGAUUUGUCUUGUAGCUUACUCGCUUAUGUUAUUUUACCUACGCUUAGGAUGUUGAGCGCAUGUCUCUCUCU